Molecule: non-coding RNA, 74 nt
Organism: Podarcis lilfordi (Lilford's wall lizard)
Lineage: Eukaryota; Metazoa; Chordata; Lepidosauria; Squamata; Lacertidae
Source: the annotation of a GenBank genome assembly
AUCUCUGUGGUUCAGUGGGUCAGUGCAUCUGGCUGUUAGCCGGAAGGUUGAUGUUUUGAGCCCACUCAGGGACA